GUGGGGAAUAUUGGACAAUGGGCGCAAGCCUGAUCCAGCCAUGCCGCGUGAGUGAUGAAGGCCUUAGGGUUGUAAAGCUCUUUCAGUAGGGAAGAUAAUGACGGUACCUACAGAAGAAGCCCCGGCUAACUUCGUGCCAGCAGCCGCGGUAAUACGAAGGGGGCUAGCGUUGUUCGGAUUUACUGGGCGUAAAGCGCACGUAGGCGGAUUGGUCAGUUAGAGGUGAAAUCCCGAAGCUCAACUUCGGAACUGCCUUUAAUACUGCCAGUCUCGAGGCCGGAAGAGGUGAGUGGAACUCCUAGUGUAGAGGUGGAAUUCGUAGAUAUUAGGAAGAACACCAGUGGCGAAGGCGGCUCACUGGUCCGGUACUGACGCUGAGGCGCGAAAGCGUGGGGAGCAAACAGGAUUAGAAACCCGAGUAGUCC
Molecule: ribosomal RNA, 425 nt
Filed under: uncultured bacterium
Lineage: Bacteria
Description: partial 16S ribosomal RNA
Rfam family: Bacterial small subunit ribosomal RNA
Source: RNAcentral